UGGGGAAUAUUGCACAAUGGGGGGAAACCCUGAUGCAGCGACGCCGCGUGAAGGAAGAAGUAUCUCGGUAUGUAAACUUCUAUCAGCAGGGAAGAGAUUGACGGUACCUGACUAAGAAGCCCCGGCUAACUACGUGCCAGCAGCCGCGGUAAUACGUAGGGGGCAAGCGUUAUCCGGAUUUACUGGGUGUAAAGGGAGCGUAGACGGAUGGACAAGUCUGAUGUGAAAGGCUGGGGCUCAACCCCGGGACUGCAUUGGAAACUGCCCGUCUUGAGUGCCGGAGAGGUAAGCGGAAUUCCUAGUGUAGCGGUGAAAUGCGUAGAUAUUAGGAGGAACACCAGUGGCGAAGGCGGCUUACUGGACGGUAACUGACGUUGAGGCUCGAAAGCGUGGGGAGCAAACAGGAUUAGAUACCCUGGUAGU
Molecule: ribosomal RNA, 423 nt
Filed under: uncultured Blautia sp.
Lineage: Bacteria; Bacillati; Bacillota; Clostridia; Lachnospirales; Lachnospiraceae
Description: bacterial SSU rRNA
Rfam family: Bacterial small subunit ribosomal RNA
Source: RNAcentral